GUCCCCAUCGUCUAGUGGCCCAGGACCCGGGCUUUUCACGCCUGUAACGCGGGUUCAAACCCCGCUGGGGACG
This 73-nucleotide transfer RNA is filed under the name Myxococcales bacterium. RNAcentral's name for it is "tRNA-Glu". It matches the Rfam family "tRNA". Rfam says of the family: Transfer RNA (tRNA) molecules are approximately 80 nucleotides in length. RNAcentral also lists the same sequence under 2 other names. The record is from RNAcentral. Lineage: Bacteria; Pseudomonadati; Myxococcota; Myxococcia; Myxococcales.